UAGAGUUUGAUCCUGGCUCAGGAUGAACGCUAGCGGCAGGCCUAAUACAUGCAAGUCGAACGGUAAAUAUUAUAGCAAUAUGAUAUGAGAGUGACGUACGGGUGCGUAACACGUAUGCAACCUACCCUUUACAGGCGGAUAGCUCGGGGAAACUCGAAUUAACCCGCCGUGGUAUAAUUGAAUGGCAUCAUUUGAUUAUUAAAACUCCGGUGGUAAAGGAUGGGCAUGCGUCUGAUUAGUUAGUUGGCGGUGUAACGGACCACCAAGACGAUGAUCAGUAGGGGAACUGAGAGGUUGAUCCCCCACACUGGCACUGAGAUACGGGCCAGACUCCUACGGGAGGCAGCAGUAGGGAAUAUUGGUCAAUGGAUGCAAGUCUGAACCAGCCAUGCCGCGUGCAGGAAGAAGGCCUUAUGGGUUGUAAACUGCUUUUGCCAGGGGAUAAAAUGAGCGUGCGCGCUUAAUUGAAGGUACCUGGUGAAUAAGCCACGGCUAACUACGUGCCAGCAGCCGCGGUAAUACGUAGGUGGCAAGCGUUGUCCGGAUUUAUUGGGUUUAAAGGGUGCGUAGGCGGUCUUUUAAGUCAGUGCUGAAAUACUCCAGCUUAACUGGAGGGGUGGCAUUGAUACUGGAAGACUGGAGUGUAGUCGAAGUAGGCGGAAUUGACGGUGUAGCGGUGAAAUGCUUAGAUAUCGUCAAGAACACCGAUAGUGAAGACAGCUUACUAGGCUACAACUGACGCUGAGGCACGAAAGUGUGGGGAUCAAACAGGAUUAGAUACCCUGGUAGUCCACACUGUAAACGUUGAUUACUCGCUGUGUGCGAUAUACAGUACGCGGCCAAGCGAAAGCGAUAAGUAAUCCACCUGGGGAGUACGCCGGCAACGGUGAAACUCAAAUGAAUUGAC
This 907-nucleotide ribosomal RNA is filed under the name uncultured bacterium. RNAcentral's name for it is "bacterial SSU rRNA". It matches the Rfam family "Bacterial small subunit ribosomal RNA", at positions 1 to 914 of the family's 1533-position model. The record is from RNAcentral.